UACUACCCUCUAGAAUUUGUUUUUCUCUACUAUUUGUCUUCUCCCGCUACAACGUGGGUUUCAAGACAUUUCUCUUCUGCUGUGCUAUCAGCUGCAUCUCCAGGGCCUGGCACAUGGCAGGUGCUCCAUGAAUACAUGAAUGAAUGAAGGGAUGGGUGAAUGAGGAAACAAAUGGUGGUCUGAAAGGUAUAAUCCACACAGCGCCAUAGUAGUCGAAACAUGCCAUUUCAGCCAAGGGCUAAGACGUGCUCACAGAAACCUAAUGCAGAAGGAACAAACAAAUCUCCAGCUCUUGACAACCACUCUGGCAUUGGCAGGUGUAUCUCUAUUUUACAGGUGAAGUUGCCCAAACUGAACGUGGCUGCAUUCACUCUCCUUGGAGACACCGGCCAGUGUACUUCUCCCAGCAGGGCAGUGGCACACAGGAUAGGCUGCCUUCAUCUACGAGGGGCGAGCCCGGAGUACAAGUGUUUAUGGAAACUUGGACACCUCUAGGAUCUCAUUAAGAUGGUUUCCCAAAAAGGCCAACAUAGCUCUGCAGUGUGCUGAGGGUCUAUGGGCAGGGAGGCAGGCAGGAAAAUCACUGAAAACAGAGACAUCUGGGAAAGUGUGGUCAACAAACCAAGUCUUUGUCCCUGCUUGCAACAGAAGGAGAGUCCUCAGUAGCUUCAAACUGUAAUUCUUAAUUGCUCUCACUUUGAAUAUUUGAAAGAAAUAAAAGUAACAGAGAAUAGCUUUGAGUUUCUCUGAGUAAGUCAAGCAGAAAUAAGAUGAAGCCAGAAUUAGCCACAUUUUCUCAUUUUGUAAUAAUCGGUUGAAUUGCGGUAGCUAUAGAAAGUCUCUCAAUAUGCACAUGCACCGUUUGAGCGUUCUACCUGAAUCUUAAAAAUGUCUAGGCCACCAAAAACUUUAUAUCCCUUCUUUUCCAAACAGGAAGCAAUAAUAAAAGGUAAGAGGAAAGAGCUGUAUAAUGACAUGUGAGGUAUUUUCCAACUGGCACACAGGGUCAAUUUUGGUAAUAAUUCAUUGUCAAAUUUCUGAACUAAUGGUGAGGCAGCAGCUUGGACCAGCCUGGCAGAUCUCUCCACUAAAGCUUGGUCAGCUCUGGGAGGAAGACGCCCGAGUCCCCCGAUGACCCCAGUGACUCCAGAUGGAUGUGUUUGCUUCCAGCUGUACAACCAGACAUGCUGUUCCUUCUGCACUAAACACAGGCCCUGAACCUCAGCCAAGAAAUAUUCCACUGUCACCUGAUUAACACCCAGAGUUAAAUCUCUCCACAGCUAAAUAUGCUUUCACCAUCACAUCUGAAAAAUAGCUACCACCACCAUGGCCUGCCCAAGGGGAAGAGGGGGCUUCAUAAGCAGGACUCUGCCUGGGUGGGUGGCUCCCCCAUUGAUGGCCAAGGCCCACCCUUAGGACUAAGUGGAAUCUAACAAAACAAGUUUCUUCCCUAAGUUCUAUCUUAGACUUGGGCCCACCCAGACCUGCUGCAUAAAGCUCUCUGGGACUGCGACCCGGAGUGUUCAGAUGAUUCUAAUGUUCACUGAAGUUUCUAAGCCACUGGCCCAGGCUACCCCAAAUGGAAAGGUAGAAGUGAAGAGACAGGAAAGGAAUGUGAAAAGCCGAGGAAAGGCAGCGUAUUGUAGCAUGGUGGAGGAAGGGCAGGCGGGAGUGGACAGUUCAGGACAGCCUAUGGGGAGCAGUGCGAGGCAUCUGUCUCCCUGAGUAACAGGAAAAUGAAGACAGAAGCAGUCUGAGGUCACAAAGGGCUCAGUGGAGGGUGCUCCAGUUUGGUGAAAAGAGAACCCAUCCUUCACCUACUCGGUAUGCUGGAUCAUGACUGCCCAUGGGGGUGACAUGUGAGGGGAAAGAAGAAGAGCAGGGGGAGCCAAAGGCAGAAAUGGUCAUACAAGUACAUGGUGGGCACGUUUUGUUUCCCACUGGACAAACUUGAGGCUAGGACACAGGUGAGAGGCUUGGACACAGCGCGCAUGAAUGCCAGUUCUUUGCCAAUGUCACCUGCAUUUUCAGCUGAUCCUAGAUGGAGACAUUUUCAGUCCCUACUUGUCUCUUGAAGAUGGAAAAUCAUACAGCAGGAAUUCCAGCAGCAUGCUUCAAACAAAAUCUCUCUGCAGGAAAGAAUGGGUGAGGUUUGGUAAAAUGUGCUGCAUACACAA
This is a long non-coding RNA of Panthera uncia (snow leopard), 2177 nucleotides long. RefSeq lists it as uncharacterized. The transcript has 2 exons. The record is from RefSeq and is a predicted model, not a curated record. NCBI's taxonomy places the organism in Eukaryota, Metazoa, Chordata, Mammalia, Carnivora, Felidae.